Molecule: long non-coding RNA, 1507 nt
Organism: Meriones unguiculatus (Mongolian gerbil)
Lineage: Eukaryota; Metazoa; Chordata; Mammalia; Rodentia; Muridae
Exons: 2
Source: RefSeq, a predicted model, not a curated record
GGCUUCUGAGAAAAAUACACCCAUUCCCUGGAAGUUCCAGGCCUGGGGGGAAACAGGGGAGGGGAAGGCAUUGCCUGCUCGGAUCUGGGAUGUGGCCACUCGUCUCUGUGCCCUUUCUAAAGAACUCGUUCUUGUUUCCUUGCUUGCUAAGAGUAAAUUCUUCAUGACUCCCUUUAUUACCCGGUCCUGCUGGAAGUCUCUUACUAGAGCCCAGGAAUGGAGAUUGCUUUUGGGGUUAAAACUAGUAGGAUGGCCAAGCAUCCCAUAGCCUGACCAAGAAAGCUUCAAGAAACUUUGAAAACCCAGUUGAGACACUAGCAGGAAGGGCUGCAGGCCGGGAUGCAGGCAUGGACAGCCAUCAGCCAUGGGCUGGAGUUUCACUGGGAUGUUCGGUGGUGAACAAUGGGGCAGGAAAAAAGUACUGUGGAGAGAUUGACAUGAUGGACCUCAAAGUCCAAGCUGAGGGACAAAGAGGCAGCAGGUAAGGGGCGGCAGAGGAAGACAGAUGUCUAUGAGUUCAAGGCCCACUUGAUCUGCAUAGCAAAUUCCAGGCCAGUCAAGGCUACACAGUAAGAUUCAGUCUCUAAAUAAAUAACGAAAUAUCCAAACUGGCAUUGAGCGAAAAAACACUAAUACCAGGGGAGGAAGAGAGAGAAACUUGAUACUCUCCCUCCAGAGGCUAUAGCCAAGUUCUACAUUCUUUCGGGCAUGUUUCCCGGACACUGGGAGAAUGUUCUCCUGAAACUGCCCCUUCCGGUCUAGUCACAUUCUAUAGGAGACGCCAGACCUCCUGGUCUCCUCCAGGGGCUAGGCAACCUACACAGGAACCCUCAGGCUCAGCACCCUGCCUGUAAUCUUGAAAGUCUCCCCAGAUCAGGCUUGCCAGUUCUGUUCCCCCAACCUGGGGCUACAGUCUGAAUCUUCUGGGUCUUCAUGUGCUGGCCAAGUGGGGAAUGCAGUCAGCCCAGGCCAGGUAGGGAUGAAACCCUCCAAGGAGUCUUCUUUUCUGAGUCUCUGUUACUCCUACUUCCAGAUCUGUAUCCUGGGAAGCCGCCUUUCAAGUCUCCAGCAAGAAGUGACCGACAGGGCAGGUGCGGUGGCACAUACCUGUGAUCCCAGCACUCAGGGAGGUAGAGGCAGGCAGAUCUCUGUAAGCUUGAGGCCAGCCUGGUCUACAAAGUGAGUCCAGGACAACCAAGAGAACCCCUGUCUCAAGAAACCAAGAAGAAGAAGAAGAAAAAGAAGAAGAGGAGAAGGAGGAGGAGGAGGAGGAGGAGGAGGAAGAGGAGGAGGAGGAGGAGGAAGAGGAGGAGGAGGAGGAAGAGGAAGAGGAGACUGACAAGAAGACUUAGCAAGGUCCUCCCUGAAAAUGAAUGCUGGCUACCUAUUGUAUGGAACUAUGGCAGAGCACCCAUCAUUAGGGAUAUAGUUACUAUUCACUCUCUUUUUCAUAUGGAACUCAGUCUUACCAACAACAAUAUGAAAUAAAUACCAGUUUACUGAGAAA